This 293-nucleotide long non-coding RNA is filed under the name Trifolium pratense (red clover). RNAcentral describes it as "long non-coding RNA (TPRA_LNC003514)". The record is from RNAcentral. Lineage: Eukaryota; Viridiplantae; Streptophyta; Magnoliopsida; Fabales; Fabaceae.
CUUAAUGGGCCUUGGCUAGUCCAGCCCACUAAGAGGACCUUUGGCCCAGAGCUGGGGGCUAUAAAUACUCUCCCUCUUGGGAGAGCAAGGUAGACACUAUUCAUUAUUGCAAUCUCUCUCUCUCUCUAACUUCUCUCUAAGUACCUCUUUGCUCUCUUACUGACUUAAGCAUCGGAGCACCUGCAGGUACAACCCCCCCCUCCGUGGACCAUCUGCUUGGACCUGCUGCCCUAUCACCUGCUCAACGGACUUCCAGCUGGCCUUCUACCUGUUCUGAUCAACAGUUAAGAUCA